RNAcentral lists this ribosomal RNA (468 nucleotides) under uncultured bacterium. RNAcentral describes it as "partial 16S ribosomal RNA". It matches the Rfam family "Bacterial small subunit ribosomal RNA", at positions 28 to 507 of the family's 1533-position model. The record is from RNAcentral.
GACGAACGCUGGCGGCGUGCUUAACACAUGCAAGUCGAACGGAGAGGAAGUGAGUGUGUUUGUUGGUGGGGUCUCGAUCGGGUGCGUAACCCGACGGGAACGUACUCUUUAAUGUGGGAUAACUCCAGAAGACUGUAGCUAAUGGCGACUAGGAGCACUACCUGCUUGGUGGGCGUUGGAAAGUGUCGGUGGGUGGGGAGGGAAUGGCGUCUUAUCUGCUUGUUGGUGGGGUAGUCGAUUAGAAGGCCUUUGACAGGAAGCCGGCCUGAGAGGGUGACCGGCAACAUUGGGACUGAGAUGCGGCCCAGACUCCUCCGGGAGGCGGCAGUGGGGAAUAUUGCACAAUGGGCGGAAGCCUGAUGUAGCAACGCCGCGUGGGGUAUGACGGCCAUCGGGUUGGAAACCACUGUCGCGUGUGACGAAGCGUGAGUGACGGUAAUGGGUAAAGAAGCACCGGCUAACUACGUG